This 167-nucleotide ribosomal RNA is filed under the name Anungitea sp. LAMIC000314. RNAcentral's name for it is "5.8S ribosomal RNA". The stretch from base 1 to 104 matches the Rfam family "5.8S ribosomal RNA", at positions 51 to 154 of the family's 154-position model. From Rfam's summary of the family: 5.8S ribosomal RNA (5.8S rRNA) is a component of the large subunit of the eukaryotic ribosome. The record is from RNAcentral. Lineage: Eukaryota; Fungi; Ascomycota; Sordariomycetes; Xylariales.
AAAUGCGAUAAGUAAUGUGAAUUGCAGAAUUCAGUGAAUCAUCGAAUCUUUGAACGCACAUUGCGCCCACUAGUAUUCUGGUGGGCAUGCCUGUUCGAGCGUCAUUUCAACCCUUAAGCCUAGCUUAGUGUUGGGAGUCUACUGUUCUUUUACGGUAGUUCCCCAAA